Molecule: ribosomal RNA, 768 nt
Filed under: Anabaena cylindrica PCC 7122
Lineage: Bacteria; Bacillati; Cyanobacteriota; Cyanophyceae; Nostocales; Nostocaceae
Description: bacterial LSU rRNA
Rfam family: Bacterial large subunit ribosomal RNA
Source: RNAcentral
GGGKUAAAGCACUGUUUCGGUGCGGGCUGGGAGACCGGUACCAAAUCGAGACAAACUCUGAAUACCCAGAGCACACAUUGCCAGUGAGACAGUGGGGGAUAAGCUUCAUUGUCAAGAGGGAAACAGCCCAGACCACCAGCUAAGGUCCCCAAAUCAUCGCUAAGUGAUAAAGGAGGUGAGAGUGCACAGACAACUAGGAGGUUUGCCUAGAAGCAGCCACCCUUGAAAGAGUGCGUAAUAGCUCACUAGUCAAGCGCUCUCGCGCCGAAAAUGAACGGGGCUAAGCGAUGUACCGAAGCUGUGGGAUUACUAAUAAUAAUCGGUAGGGGAGCGUUCCGUCGUAGGUAGAAGCAGUAGCGGCGAGCAGCUGUGGACGAAACGGAAGUGAGAAUGUCGGCUUGAGUAGCGCAAAUGUAUGUGAGAAUCAUACACCCCGAAACCCUAAGGGUUCCAGAGCCAGGUUCGUCCACUCUGGGUUAGUCGGGACCUAAGGCGAGGCCGAACGGCGUAGUCGAUGGACAAAGUGUCAAUAGUCACUUACUAUUCUGUGGGAGCAUAGAUAGGGACGCAUAAAAGAUAACCACACCCUAAUUGGUUUGGGAGGGGUUUACGAACUCCGAGUGGGGAAGGAUAGUGCCAAGAAAAGCUAUGUAUGUGAUGAAAGCAGAAUACCCGUACCCGAAACCGACACAGGUAGGGAGGUUGAGAAUACCAAGGGGCGCGAGAUAACUCUCUCUAAGGAACUCGGCAAAAUGGCCCCGUAACUUC